RNAcentral lists this long non-coding RNA (219 nucleotides) under Amborella trichopoda. Its description in RNAcentral is "long non-coding RNA (ATRI_LNC005273)". Lineage: Eukaryota; Viridiplantae; Streptophyta; Magnoliopsida; Amborellales; Amborellaceae. The record is from RNAcentral.
GGAGGCUCUAGAGUUAAUCACCCACGAAGAUGAUGGACGAGAAGUGGAAGUGAGACCUGCUGUGCAUGCUGAGUGGUGAGAAUGAGAAUCUGGUUCCUUGGGACUAUCCUUCUUCUUAGAGAGAUAGAACUGAGCAAAUUAUUCUAACACAUCAUAGGGGAUUUGAGAGGUAACACUUUCCUUCUUUUUAAAAUUGAUAAGCCUAUAAGUUAGUGGGGG